GUCAGGAUGGUCAAGUGGUCUAAGGCACUGCGUUCAGGUCGCAGUCCACUUCUGUGGGCGUGGGUUCGCGCGCGAAUCCCACUUCUGACA
Trichonephila clavipes is the source of this 90-nucleotide non-coding RNA. The record is from the annotation of a GenBank genome assembly. Lineage: Eukaryota; Metazoa; Arthropoda; Arachnida; Araneae; Nephilidae.